UAAGAGUAAUUGGACAAAAAC
Molecule: non-coding RNA, 21 nt
Filed under: Caenorhabditis elegans
Lineage: Eukaryota; Metazoa; Nematoda; Chromadorea; Rhabditida; Rhabditidae
Source: RNAcentral